RNAcentral lists this ribosomal RNA (493 nucleotides) under uncultured bacterium. RNAcentral describes it as "partial 16S ribosomal RNA". It matches the Rfam family "Bacterial small subunit ribosomal RNA", at positions 29 to 523 of the family's 1533-position model. The record is from RNAcentral.
AUUGAACGCUGGCGGCAUGCUUUACACAUGCAAGUCGAACGGUAACAGGUUAAGCUGACGAGUGGCGAACGGGUGAGUAAUGCAUCGGAACGUGCCCGGUCGUGGGGGAUAACGCAGCGAAAGCUGCGCUAAUACCGCAUACGAUCUGAGGAGGAAAGCGGGGGACCGUAAGGCCUCGCGCGAUCGGAGCGGCCGAUGUCAGAUUAGGUAGUUGGUGGGGUAAAGGCUCACCAAGCCAACGAUCUGUAGCUGGUCUGAGAGGAUGACCAGCCACACGGGGACUGGGACAGGGCCCAGACUCCUACGGGAGGCAGCAGUGGGGAAUUUUGGACAAUGGGCGAAAGCCUGAUCCAGCAAUGCCGCGUGCAGGAAGAAGGCCUUCGGGUUGUAAACUGCUUUUGUACGGAGCGAAAAGGUCUCCUCUAAUACAGGGGGCUCAUGACGGUGCCGUAAGAAUAAGCACCGGCUAACUACGUGCCAGCAGCCGCCGUAA